UUGAACGCUGGCGGCAGGCCUAACCCAUGCAAGUCGCGCGGAUGAAGGGAGCUUGCUCCUGGAUUCAGCGGCGGACGGGUGAGUAAUGCCUAGGAAUCUGCCUGGUAGCGGGGGAUAACGUCCGGAAACGGGCGCUAAUACCGCAUACGUCCUGAGGGAGAAAGUGGGGGAUCUUCGGACCUCACGCUAUCAGAUGAGCCUAGGUCGGAUUAGCUAGUUGGUGGGGUAAAGGCCUACCAAGGCGACGAUCCGUAACUGGUCUGAGAGGAUGAUCAGUCACACUGGAACUGAGACACGGUCCAGACUCCUACGGGAGGCAGCAGUGGGGAAUAUUGGACAAUGGGCGAAAGCCUGAUCCAGCCAUGCCGCGUGUGUGAAGAAGGUCUUCGGAUUGUAAAGCACUUUAAGUUGGGAGGAAGGGCAGUAAGUUAAUACCUUGCUGUUUUGACGUUACCAACAGAAUAAGCACCGGCUAACUUCGUG
This 483-nucleotide ribosomal RNA is filed under the name uncultured bacterium. RNAcentral's name for it is "partial 16S ribosomal RNA". It matches the Rfam family "Bacterial small subunit ribosomal RNA", at positions 30 to 507 of the family's 1533-position model. The record is from RNAcentral.